AGAAAGAAAGAAAGAAAGAAAGAAAGAAAGAAAGAAAGAAAGAAAGAAAGAAAGAAAGAAAGAAAGAAAGAAAGAAAGAAAGAAAGAAAGAAAGAAAGAAAGAAAGAAAGAAAGAAAGAAAGAAAGAAAGAAAGAAAGCAAGAAAGCAAGAAAGCAAGAAAGAAAGAAAGAAAGAAAGAAAGCAAGAAAGCAAGAAAGCAAGAAAGAAAGAAAGAAAGAAAGAAAGAAAGAAAGAAAGAAAGAAAGAAAGAAAGAAAGAAAGAAAGAAAGAAAGAAAGAAAGAAAGAAAGAAAGAAAGAAAAAGCGAAAACAUCGCCUGUUUCUUUAAAACAAAGAUAUUUUCUUUGGAAAAGUUGUAUGAGAAAAAAAAAGCUUUCUCUGGGCGGAUGAAACGAUUUUCUGAAGAGCGAGAGAGAAGUCAGAAAUUCAUUAAAAGAUAUUAAGACUCCAGAAAGAUGUCUUCUCAACAUCAGCAGUGCAAGCAGCCCUGCCAGCCAACACCAGUGUGCCCACCUAAGUGCCCUGACCCUUGCCCACCUGCCAAGUGUCCAGAGCCUUGCCCACCUAUAAAGUGCCCUGCCCCAUGCCUGCCUCAGCAGUGCAAGCAGAAAUGCCCUCCUGGGCCACCUGCCCAUCAUUGCUAGCAGAAGUGCCCACCCAAGAGCAUGUAAGAGCUUGAGCUUUUAUCUGCAUCUGCAAAGGAUAAGGACAAUCGGCUCAACUAGUUCCAGAGCUCCACCUUCAUCUUCUCUUCAAAGCUUAUCAUGGAUACGGAAGAAGCUUCUCCACCCUUCAGCCUCAAAAUGCGUGUGGUGAUUCCUGACAGACUGGGGUUUCCUACCUGAGGCUGCUAUACUGCUUCCUUCUGGGAGGUGACCGAGAAAGCAUCGCAGAGCCUCAGAAGGAAGAGCAGCAGCUCUCCUCCUGGGCACCCUCUGAGGAUUCUCUCGAUGUCUUCUGUGUCGGUCGGUCACCUGGGCAUGGGUUUCUACCAGCUGAGCAAUUGUUACUUAUCCUCCACUUCUUGAAUAAAAUACUAUUCUUUUGUG
Long non-coding RNA from Physeter macrocephalus (sperm whale), 1049 nucleotides. RefSeq lists it as uncharacterized. The record is from RefSeq and is a predicted model, not a curated record. Lineage: Eukaryota; Metazoa; Chordata; Mammalia; Artiodactyla; Physeteridae. The transcript has 2 exons.